Grammomys surdaster is the source of this 102-nucleotide small nuclear RNA. The record is from RefSeq and is a predicted model, not a curated record. NCBI's taxonomy places the organism in Eukaryota, Metazoa, Chordata, Mammalia, Rodentia, Muridae.
GUGUUUGCUUCAGCAGCACAUAUACUAAAAUUGGAACAAUACAGAGGUUAGCAUAGUCCUGAGCAAGGGUGAACACAAUGCUGUGAAGCAUUCCACAUUAAG